AUUGAACGCUGGCGGCAGGCUUAACACAUGCAAGUCGAGCGAGCGGCGGACGGGUGAGUAAUGUCUGGGAAACUGCCUGAUGGAGGGGGAUAACUACUGGAAACGGUAGCUAAUACCGCAUACCAUCAGAUGUGCCCAGAUGGGAUUAGCUUGUAGGUGGGGUAAUGGCUCACCUAGGCGACGAUCCCUAGCUGGUCUGAGAGGAUGACCAGCCACACUGGGACGUAGACACGGUCCAGACUCCUACGGGAGGCAGCAGUGGGGAAUUUUGCACAAUGGGCGCAAGCCUGAUGCAGCCAUGCCGCGUGUAUGAAGAAGGCCUUCGGGUUGUAAAGUACUUUCGUCGGGGAGGCGUUACCCACAGAAGAAGCACCGGCUAACUCCGUGCCAGCAGCCGCGGUAAUAC
RNAcentral lists this ribosomal RNA (406 nucleotides) under uncultured bacterium. RNAcentral's name for it is "partial 16S ribosomal RNA". It matches the Rfam family "Bacterial small subunit ribosomal RNA", at positions 30 to 526 of the family's 1533-position model. The record is from RNAcentral.